Molecule: ribosomal RNA, 253 nt
Filed under: uncultured bacterium
Lineage: Bacteria
Description: partial 16S ribosomal RNA
Rfam family: Bacterial small subunit ribosomal RNA
Source: RNAcentral
GACGUAGGGGGCAAGCGUUGUCCGGAUUCAUUGGGCGUAAAGAGCGUGUAGGCGGCCAGGUAGGUCGGUUGUGAAAACUGGAGGCUCAACCUUCAGAGGUCGACCGAAACCAUCUGGCUAGAGUCCGGGAGAGGAGAGUGGAAUUCCUGGUGUAGCGGUGAAAUGCGCAGAUAUCAGGAAGAACACCCGUGGCGAAAGCGGCUCUCUGGAACGGUACUGACGCUGAGACGCGAAAGCGUGGGGAGCGAACAGG